GGUUAAGUUAGAAAGGGCGCACGGUGGAUGCCUUGGCACUAGGAGCCGAAGAAGGACGGGACUAACACCGAUAUGCUUUGGGGAGCUGUACGUAAGCGUUGAUCCAGAGAUUUCCGAAUGGGGGAACCCACUAUCUUUAGUCGGAUAGUAUCCUUACGUGAAUACAUAGCGUGAGGAAGGCAGACCCAGGGAACUGAAACAUCUAAGUACCUGGAGGAAGAGAAAGAAAAAUCGAUUUCCUGAGUAGCGGCGAGCGAAACGGAAAGAGCCCAAACCAAGAAGCUUGCUUCUUGGGGUUGUAGGACACUCUAUACGGAGUUACAAAAGAAAGUUAUAAAUGAAGCGGUCUGGAAAGGCCCGCCAAAGACGGUAACAGCCCGGUAGUUGAAAUGGCUUUCCCUCCAGAGUGGAUCCUGAGUACGGCGGAACACGUGAAAUUCCGUCGGAAUCCGGGAGGACCAUCUCCCAAGGCUAAAUACUCCCUAGUGACCGAUAGUGAACCAGUACCGUGAGGGAAAGGUGAAAAGCACCCCGGAAGGGGAGUGAAACAGUUCCUGAAACCGUGUGCCUACAAGUAGUUAGAGCCCGUUAAUGGGUGAUAGCGUGCCUUUUGUAGAAUGAACCGGCGAGUUACGAUUUGUUGCAAGGUUAAGCGGAAAAAGCGGAGCCGUAGCGAAAGCGAGUCUGAAUAGGGCGCAUAAGUAACAGGUCGUAGACCCGAAACCAGGUGAUCUACCCAUGUCCAGGAUGAAGGUAAGGUAAUACUUACUGGAGGUCCGAACCCACGCACGUUGAAAAGUGCGGGGAUGAGGUGUGGGUAGCGGAGAAAUUCCAAUCGAACUUGGAGAUAGCUGGUUCUCUCCGAAAUAGCUUUAGGGCUAGCCUCGAGGUAAAGAGUCAUGGAGGUAGAGCACUGUUUGGACUAGGGGCCCUUCUCGGGUUACCGAAUUCAGAUAAACUCCGAAUGCCAUGUACUUAUACUCGGGAGUCAGACUGCGAGUGAUAAGAUCCGUAGUCGAAAGGGAAACAGCCCAGACCACCAGUUAAGGUCCCCAAAUAUAUGUUAAGUGGAAAAGGAUGUGGGGUUGCUUAGACAACCAGGAUGUUGGCUUAGAAGCAGCCACCAUUGAAAGAGUGCGUAAUAGCUCACUGGUCGAGUGACCCCGCGCCGAAAAUGUACCGGGGCUAAACAUAUUACCGAAACUGUGGAUGAACCUCUUUAGAGGUUCGUGGUAGGAGAGCGUUCUAAGGGCGGUGAAGUCAGACCGGAAGGACUGGUGGAGCGCUUAGAAGUGAGAAUGCCGGUAUGAGUAGCGAAAGAAGGGUGAGAAUCCCUUCCACCGAAUAUCUAAGGUUUCCUGAGGAAGGCUCGUCCGCUCAGGGUUAGUCGGGACCUAAGCCGAGGCCGAUAGGCGUAGGCGAUGGACAACAGGUAGAGAUUCCUGUACCAGUGCUAAUUGUUUAACCGAUGGGGUGACACAGAAGGAUAGGGAAUCGCACGAAUGGAAAUGUGCGUCCAAGCAGUGAGUGUGAGAAGUAGGCAAAUCCGCUUCUCACNNNNNNNNNNNNNNNNNNNNNNNNNNNNNNNNNNNNNNNNNNNNNNNNNNNNNNNNNNNNNNNNNNNNNNNNNNNNNNNNNNNNNNNNNNNNNNUCUCACGAAGCAUGAGCUGUGAUGGGGAAGGAAAUUAAGUACGGAAGUUCCUGAUUUCACGCUGUCAAGAAAAGCCUCUAGGAAGAGUAGUACUGCCCGUACCGCAAACCGACACAGGUAGAUGAGGAGAGAAUCCUAAGGUGAGCGAGAGAACUCUCGUUAAGGAACUCGGCAAAAUGACCCCGUAACUUCGGGAGAAGGGGUGCUCUAUUAGGGUGCAAGCCCGAGAGAGCCGCAGUGAAUAGGCCCAGGCGACUGUUUAGCAAAAACACAGGUCUCUGCAAAACCGUAAGGUGACGUAUAGGGGCUGACGCCUGCCCGGUGCUGGAAGGUUAAGAGGAGUGCUUAGCUUCGGCGAAGGUACGAAUUGAAGCCCCAGUAAACGGCGGCCGUAACUAUAACGGUCCUAAGGUAGCGAAAUUCCUUGUCGGGUAAGUUCCGACCCGCACGAAAGGCGCAACGAUCUGGGCACUGUCUCAACGAGAGACUCGGUGAAAUUAUAGUACCUGUGAAGAUGCAGGUUACCCGCGACAGGACGGAAAGACCCCGUGGAGCUUUACUGCAACCUGAUAUGGAAUGUUUGUACCGCUUGUACAGGAUAGGUAGGAGCCGAAGAGACGUGUGCGCUAGCAUACGAGGAGGCAAUGGUGGGAUACUACCCUGGCUGUAUGACCAUUCUAACCCGCCACGCUUAGCGCGUGGGGAGACAGUGUCAGGUGGGCAGUUUGACUGGGGCGGUCGCCUCCUAAAGAGUAACGGAGGCGCCCAAAGGUUCCCUCAGAAUGGAUGGAAAUCAUUCGCAGAGUGUAAAGGCACAAGGGAGCUUGACUGCGAGACUGACAAGUCGAGCAGGGACGAAAGUCGGGCUUAGUGAUCCGGUGGUUCCGCAUGGAAGGGCCAUCGCUCAACGGAUAAAAGCUACCCCGGGGAUAACAGGCUUAUCUCCCCCAAGAGUCCACAUCGACGGGGAGGUUUGGCACCUCGAUGUCGGCUCGUCGCAUCCUGGGGCUGUAGUCGGUCCCAAGGGUUGGGCUGUUCGCCCAUUAAAGCGGCACGCGAGCUGGGUUCAGAACGUCGUGAGACAGUUCGGUCCCUAUCCGUCGCGGGCGCAGGAAAUUUGAGAGGAGCUGUCCUUAGUACGAGAGGACCGGGAUGGACACACCGCUGGUGUACCAGUUGUUCCGCCAGGAGCAUCGCUGGGUAGCUAUGUGUGGCAGGGAUAAACGCUGAAAGCAUCUAAGCGUGAAGCCCCCCUCAAGAUGAGAUUUCCCAUUUCUUCGGAAAGUAAGAUCCCUGAAAGAUGAUCAGGUAGAUAGGUUUGGAGUGGAAGUGUAGCGAUACAUGGAGCGGACAAAUACUAAUCGAUCGAGGACUUAACCAA
Molecule: ribosomal RNA, 3032 nt
Filed under: Listeria monocytogenes
Lineage: Bacteria; Bacillati; Bacillota; Bacilli; Caryophanales; Listeriaceae
Description: 23S ribosomal RNA
Rfam family: Bacterial large subunit ribosomal RNA
Source: RNAcentral